RNAcentral lists this ribosomal RNA (468 nucleotides) under uncultured bacterium. RNAcentral's name for it is "partial 16S ribosomal RNA". It matches the Rfam family "Bacterial small subunit ribosomal RNA", at positions 28 to 507 of the family's 1533-position model. The record is from RNAcentral.
GACGAACGCUGGCGGCGUGCUUAACACAUGCAAGUCGAACGGAAAGGCCCUGCUUUUGUGGGGUGCUCGAGUGGCGAACGGGUGAGUAACACGUGAGUAACCUGCCCUUGACUUUGGGAUAACUUCAGGAAACUGGGGCUAAUACCGGAUAGGAGCUCCUGCUGCAUGGUGGGGGUUGGAAAGUUUCGGCGGUUGGGGAUGGACUCGCGGCUUAUCAGCUUGUUGGUGGGGUAGUGGCUUACCAAGGCUUUGACGGGUAGCCGGCCUGAGAGGGUGACCGGCCACAUUGGGACUGAGAUACGGCCGAGACUACUACGGGAGGCAGCAGUGGGGAAUAUUGCACUAUGGGCGGAAGCCUGAUGCAGCAACGCCGCGUGCGGGAUGACGGCCUUCGGGUUGUAAACCGCUUUCGCCUGUGACGAAGCGUGAGUGACGGUAAUGGGUAAAGAAGCACCGGCUAACUACGUG